This 586-nucleotide ribosomal RNA is filed under the name uncultured bacterium. RNAcentral describes it as "bacterial SSU rRNA". It matches the Rfam family "Bacterial small subunit ribosomal RNA", at positions 338 to 917 of the family's 1533-position model. The record is from RNAcentral.
CCUACGGGAGGCAGCAGUGGGGAAUUUUGGACAAUGGGCGAAAGCCUGAUCCAGCCAUUCCGCGUGAGUGAAGAAGGCCUUCGGGUUGUAAAGCUCUUUCGCAAGGGAAGAAAACUUAGAUACUAAUAUUAUCUGAGGUUGACGGUACCUUGAUAAGAAGCACCGGCUAACUACGUGCCAGCAGCCGCGGUAAUACGUAGGGUGCGAGCGUUAAUCGGAAUUACUGGGCGUAAAGCGUGCGCAGGCGGUUUUGUAAGUCAGAUGUGAAAUCCCCGAGCUCAACUUGGGAACUGCGUUUGAAACUACAAGACUAGAAUAUGUCAGAGGGGGGUAGAAUUCCACGUGUAGCAGUGAAAUGCGUAGAGAUGUGGAGGAAUACCAAUGGCGAAGGCAGCCCCCUGGGAUAAUAUUGACGCUCAUGCACGAAAGCGUGGGGAGCAAACAGGAUUAGAUACCCUGGUAGUCCACGCCCUAAACGAUGUCUACUAGUUGUUGGUGGAGUAAAAUCCAUGAGUAACGCAGCUAACGCGUGAAGUAGACCGCCUGGGGAGUACGGUCGCAAGAUUAAAACUUAAAGAUUAGUAGG